This 597-nucleotide ribosomal RNA is filed under the name Escherichia coli. RNAcentral's name for it is "partial 23S ribosomal RNA". It matches the Rfam family "Bacterial large subunit ribosomal RNA", at positions 2180 to 2776 of the family's 2925-position model. The record is from RNAcentral. Lineage: Bacteria; Pseudomonadati; Pseudomonadota; Gammaproteobacteria; Enterobacterales; Enterobacteriaceae.
AUGGAGCCGACCUUGAAAUACCACCCUUUAAUGUUUGAUGUUCUAACGUUGACCCGUAAUCCGGGUUGCGGACAGUGUCUGGUGGGUAGUUUGACUGGGGCGGUCUCCUCCUAAAGAGUAACGGAGGAGCACGAAGGUUGGCUAAUCCUGGUCGGACAUCAGGAGGUUAGUGCAAUGGCAUAAGCCAGCUUGACUGCGAGCGUGACGGCGCGAGCAGGUGCGAAAGCAGGUCAUAGUGAUCCGGUGGUUCUGAAUGGAAGGGCCAUCGCUCAACGGAUAAAAGGUACUCCGGGGAUAACAGGCUGAUACCGCCCAAGAGUUCAUAUCGACGGCGGUGUUUGGCACCUCGAUGUCGGCUCAUCACAUCCUGGGGCUGAAGUAGGUCCCAAGGGUAUGGCUGUUCGCCAUUUAAAGUGGUACGCGAGCUGGGUUUAGAACGUCGUGAGACAGUUCGGUCCCUAUCUGCCGUGGGCGCUGGAGAACUGAGGGGGGCUGCUCCUAGUACGAGAGGACCGGAGUGGACGCAUCACUGGUGUUCGGGUUGUCAUGCCAAUGGCACUGCCCGGUAGCUAAAUGCGGAAGAGAUAAGUGCUGAAA